GAAAAAUACAGACACAUGAAAUCAUCGUUUUGUCAAUAUUUGUCUUCAUUUAAGGACCAAUGACAUAGGCUAUUCUAAAACUUGAAACAACAUUAUGAAUGAAACAGAUACCAUACAAAAGGAUGCUGCUGUUGGUUCUCUAGUGACAGUUUUAUUUACGUCAUUAGCAGUAGCGUCGGUUUUAAUCGACGUCAUUUAUAUCAUUGUUUGCUUCAAGGCUCUUAAGAAAACAUUCCAUCAUCUUACAAUUUUAGUUUUGUUUUUCAGCGAUAUUACUUUGGGGAUUUCAUCAACAUUGUUUUCGUUAGGAACUUUAGUUACACAUGAACAUGUUGGCUCGUGUCUUCUACAAAUACAGAUUGUUGCUUUUGGCAUGCUAUCAAACUAUUGUUUAAUAUUUCUUCUGUGUUUGCAAAGGUACUUGGUUGUGAGUUCGUAUAACUUUAGAAUAGUUGACACAUUUGAUAAGAACAAAUACAAAUACAUAGGAGGAUCUCUGUGCGUUGUGCUAGUAAUUACGUUUUGUGGAACUGUAUUGACUCCCCAUGCCGAAUUCAUGCAAAUUUGUAGACCUCCUGUUGUAUAUGGGGAUAAUUUUUAUAUUUUUAUAACUGUCAUUUUUUUACCAAUAACUGUUGUCAUAUUUCUUUUAUUGAUAAUGUCAGUGAUCACUAGUUUUUGCAUUUGGCAGAUAUAUUUUAAAAGCACAGUUGCCCCUAUGCACGUUAUGAGAGAAAGGAAAAACAAUAUUUGCCAUGUGCAGACUUCUCCAAUUAUAAUUGGACAAGAUUCGGCGACUGCAUCCCAAAAUGUGUCUAUUGGAUCAAAGGGGAACACAAAUGAGGCAGAUGAUAUUUUAAUCAUGACCGUAGAUAGUAUAGAUAUUCAUCUAGAUACCUUGAGUGCGAAAUUGAACUGUGAUAAUACAGUA
Mytilus trossulus (common blue mussel) is the source of this 931-nucleotide long non-coding RNA. RefSeq lists it as uncharacterized. NCBI's taxonomy places the organism in Eukaryota, Metazoa, Mollusca, Bivalvia, Mytilida, Mytilidae. The record is from RefSeq and is a predicted model, not a curated record. The transcript is spliced from 3 exons.